UUAGAGGCAAACGGGUGGACCCGCAAUACGUCGACCCGGGGGAUUCAACCAGGCCGUGCGUUCGGGACGCGUGGGGGUUAUGCGGAGCUGUAAAGCCCGUGCCUUUGCGUGGGUCUCCGGGCGGACUGGUGCACUUUCCUCGGGUUGAUUGCCACGACCGGCUCUCCGCGCGGCCAUAAGCCUGUUGCUGGUAAGGUGACCGUCGGCCCCAGCGCCGGCGGUGUUAUAGACCAGCUUGUUCGUUGCGCUCGUCGGAGGGCCGAGGAAGUUGCCGUUUCUCAGCACCCUCUGGCCAUCCUUGCUCGUCACGACUGGGGUGAACUGCUUCGCCAGUGCUCUCCCGACCGCGAGCGUAGGAAGGGCUGGUACGGUGCGAGGAUGCUUCGGGCCAGUGGCGAAUCGGUCGGUCCUCCACCCGACCCGUCUUGAA
This 430-nucleotide ribosomal RNA is filed under the name Potomida littoralis. RNAcentral describes it as "partial 28S large subunit ribosomal RNA". Lineage: Eukaryota; Metazoa; Mollusca; Bivalvia; Unionida; Unionidae. The record is from RNAcentral.